GCCCUGAUGUUGUAACGGCAGCCUGCAUGACUCGUCAUUCAAGCGGUGCCGGUUCAAUUCCGGCUCAGGGCU
This 72-nucleotide transfer RNA is filed under the name Ilumatobacteraceae bacterium. RNAcentral's name for it is "tRNA-Thr". It matches the Rfam family "tRNA". Rfam says of the family: Transfer RNA (tRNA) molecules are approximately 80 nucleotides in length. Their secondary structure includes four short double-helical elements and three loops (D, anti-codon, and T loops). Lineage: Bacteria; Bacillati; Actinomycetota; Acidimicrobiia; Acidimicrobiales; Ilumatobacteraceae. The record is from RNAcentral.